GGGUCAAUGAUGAGAACCUUAUAUGGUUUCACAAGAGAAAUUGAUGACUUAAAAUCAUGUGCUCAAUGGGAUUACGUGAGGCCA
RNAcentral lists this small nucleolar RNA (84 nucleotides) under Papio anubis (olive baboon). RNAcentral describes it as "Small nucleolar RNA SNORD115 (ENSPANG00000044932.1)". It matches the Rfam family "Small nucleolar RNA SNORD115". Rfam says of the family: HBII-52 is a member of the C/D class of snoRNAs, which contain the C (UGAUGA) and D (CUGA) box motifs. The record is from Rfam by way of RNAcentral. Lineage: Eukaryota; Metazoa; Chordata; Mammalia; Primates; Cercopithecidae.